This 253-nucleotide ribosomal RNA is filed under the name uncultured bacterium. RNAcentral describes it as "partial 16S ribosomal RNA". It matches the Rfam family "Bacterial small subunit ribosomal RNA", at positions 524 to 776 of the family's 1533-position model. The record is from RNAcentral.
UACGAAGGAGGCUAGCGUUGUUCGGAAUUACUGGGCGUAAAGCGCGCGCAGGCGGCUAUCCAAGUCAGUGGUGAAAGCCCGGAGCUCAACUCCGGAACUGCCAUUGAAACUGUUUAGCUUGAGGAUGAGAGAGGUGAGUGGAAUUCCCAGUGUAGAGGUGAAAUUCGUAGAUAUCGGGAGGAACACCGGUGGCGAAGGCGGCGAUCUGGGUAGAUACUGACGCUGAGGUGCGAAAGCGUGGGGAGCAAACAGG